UACGGAGGAUGCGAGCGUUAUCCGGAUUUAUUGGGUUUAAAGGGUGCGUAGGCGGGUUAUCAAGUCAGCGGUAAAAUCGUGGAGCUCAACUCCAUCCAGCCGUUGAAACUGGGGAUCUAGAGUGUGCGAGAGGUAUGCGGAAUGCGUGGUGUAGCGGUGAAAUGCGUAGAUAUUAGGAAGAACACCAGUGGCGAAGGCGGAUUACUGGACGACAACUGACGGUGAGGCGCGAAAGCGUGGGGAGCAAACAGG
This 252-nucleotide ribosomal RNA is filed under the name uncultured bacterium. Its description in RNAcentral is "partial 16S ribosomal RNA". It matches the Rfam family "Bacterial small subunit ribosomal RNA", at positions 524 to 776 of the family's 1533-position model. The record is from RNAcentral.